CUGAAUUCUCUUGUUGGUAUAGAGACUCUUGUGUCUGAAGCUUCAGUGCUAUACCUUCUUCAUAGCUCUAUUAGAACCUUGAAAGGCAGGUUACCAACUGCCAUGAGUUACCUCUGGACUUUACCCUACAGGGUCAGUAAUUCAAUGUAUCUCAGAAAUGCUGGUCUCUGGAGGUUUUCCUGUCUGACCCUGAGGAGCUGGAUUCUUCAAUCUUCAGUCCUGAGGUACAAAUAUCGUGCAGCCCUCAUCUGCUUUUUAAUGGAUUCAUCAAAAGCUUUCCUAAACAGCAGCUCCC
Molecule: non-coding RNA, 295 nt
Organism: Pelobates cultripes (western spadefoot toad)
Lineage: Eukaryota; Metazoa; Chordata; Amphibia; Anura; Pelobatidae
Source: the annotation of a GenBank genome assembly